UUAUUAGGAAUCUCCUUCUGUUGGGAUGU
This 29-nucleotide non-coding RNA is filed under the name Mus musculus (house mouse). Lineage: Eukaryota; Metazoa; Chordata; Mammalia; Rodentia; Muridae. The record is from RNAcentral.